RNAcentral lists this ribosomal RNA (245 nucleotides) under uncultured Lactobacillus sp. RNAcentral describes it as "partial 16S ribosomal RNA". It matches the Rfam family "Bacterial small subunit ribosomal RNA", at positions 116 to 355 of the family's 1533-position model. Lineage: Bacteria; Bacillati; Bacillota; Bacilli; Lactobacillales; Lactobacillaceae. The record is from RNAcentral.
CGUGGGUAACCUGCCCAAGAGAUCGGGAUAACACCUGGAAACAGAUGCUAAUACCGGAUAAUAACAGAUGAUGCCUAUCAACUGUUUAAAAGAUGGUUCUGCUAUCACUCUUGGAUGGACCUGCGGUGCAUUAGCUAGUUGGUAGGGUAACGGCCUACCAAGGCGAUGAUGCAUAGCCGAGUUGAGGGACUGAUCGGCCACAUUGGGACUGAGACACGGCCCAAACUCCUACGGGAGGCAGCAGC